GUGGGGAAUCUUCCGCAAUGGACGAAAGUCUGACGGAGCAACGCCGCGUGAUCGAUGACGGCCUUCGGGUUGUAAAGUUCUGUUAUACGGGACGAAUGGUACGACGGCCAAUACCCGUCGUAAGUGACGGUACCGUAAGAGAAAGCCACGGCUAACUACGUGCCAGCAGCCGCGGUAAUACGUAGGUGGCAAGCGUUGUCCGGAAUUAUUGGGCGUAAAGGGCGCGCAGGCGGCGUCGUAAGUCGGUCUUAAAAGUGCGGGGCUUAACCCCGUGAGGGGACCGAAACUGCGAUGCUAGAGUAUCGGAGAGGAAAGCGGAAUUCCUAGUGUAGCGGUGAAAUGCGUAGAUAUUAGGAGGAACACCAGUGGCGAAAGCGGCUUUCUGGACGACAACUGACGCUGAGGCGCGAAAGCCAGGGGAGCAAACGGGAUUAGAAACCCUGGUAGUCC
This 450-nucleotide ribosomal RNA is filed under the name uncultured bacterium. RNAcentral describes it as "partial 16S ribosomal RNA". It matches the Rfam family "Bacterial small subunit ribosomal RNA", at positions 354 to 796 of the family's 1533-position model. The record is from RNAcentral.